This 32-nucleotide non-coding RNA is filed under the name Homo sapiens (human). The record is from RNAcentral. Lineage: Eukaryota; Metazoa; Chordata; Mammalia; Primates; Hominidae.
UGUCUGCGGCCUCUCCAGUCCAAAGCUGCUGC